Molecule: ribosomal RNA, 253 nt
Filed under: uncultured bacterium
Lineage: Bacteria
Description: partial 16S ribosomal RNA
Rfam family: Bacterial small subunit ribosomal RNA
Source: RNAcentral
UACAGAGGUCUCAAGCGUUGUUCGGAUUCAUUGGGCGUAAAGGGUGCGUAGGCGGCGCGGUAAGUCGGGUGUGAAAUCUCGGAGCUUAACUCCGAAACUGCAUUCGAUACUGCCGUGCUUGAGGACUGGAGAGGAGACUGGAAUUUACGGUGUAGCGGUGAAAUGCGUAGAUAUCAGGAGGAACACCGGCGGCGAAGGCGGCCCUCUGGAUCGUUGCUGACGCUGAGGCGCGAAAGCGUGGGGAGCAAACAGG